RNAcentral lists this ribosomal RNA (127 nucleotides) under Salmonella enterica subsp. enterica serovar Kentucky. RNAcentral's name for it is "partial 23S ribosomal RNA". It matches the Rfam family "Bacterial large subunit ribosomal RNA", at positions 343 to 472 of the family's 2925-position model. Lineage: Bacteria; Pseudomonadati; Pseudomonadota; Gammaproteobacteria; Enterobacterales; Enterobacteriaceae. The record is from RNAcentral.
UGGAAAGGCGCGCGAUACAGGGUGACAGCCCCGUACACAAAAGCGCAUGUGCUGUGAGCUCAAUGAGUAGGGCGGGACACGUGGUAUCCUGUCUGAAUAUGGGGGGACCAUCCUCCAAGGCUAAAUA